Long non-coding RNA from Oreochromis aureus, 1069 nucleotides. NCBI's taxonomy places the organism in Eukaryota, Metazoa, Chordata, Actinopteri, Cichliformes, Cichlidae. The record is from Ensembl.
GUUUUGGUACUUUUUUUAAAGUAAGACUGUUGCGGUUAGAGAUGUAGUUUAUUUUCCGUUUUUACUGGUACCUCCAUGUUUCCUUGUAUUUUGUCUUUGUGGCACUUGUUUCUAAGUCAUGUUGGUUCCUGUGCUGUUUUGAUAGUCAUUCGUCUUUUGUGCCUUAUAGUUAGUUUUACCUCUCUUGUCCCAUUGCCUUUGAUUAGUUUCAGCUCUUCUUUUUUCACACGUUUCCACUACUCCGAUUUGUCCACAGUAUCUGUGUGUAUAUACGCCAGGUCUCCCUUGUCUUUUCAGUGUCUGUUAACCUGCUCUUGUCUUUAUCUGCAACUGAGUGUGUUUUGUGUCUUGGGAUUCAGUCUUGGAUGUGGUUUGGAUCUUGGCACUCCUCCUAAGAAUUGCUAUUUUUUUAGUUUGUGUGUCUGUGAGUCCUGCAGUCCUGGAUGAAUUUCCUGCUCCGUUUCACAUGCUGCAAACAGAUAAAAACAAAAGGGAGGGUAUAUACACUUACGAGCCACCUUAUGAGGUACAUUUGCUCAACUCCUUGUUAAUGCAAAUGUCUAAUGGGCCAGUCGCAUGGCAGCAACUCAAUACAUCUCAAUAUAUCAAUACUUAGACAUGCAGACAUGAUGAAGAUGAUCUCCUGAAGUUCAAACUGAGCAUCAGAAAUGAAAGGAAAGGGAAAAAAUAUCCAGUGAGCAGCAGUUCUUGAUGUCAGAAGUCAGAGGAAAAUGGCCAGACUGCCUUAGGCUGAUAAGAAGGUAACAGUAACUCAAAUAACCACUCGUUACAAACCUGAGAAUGCAGUCCCCUAACUGUUUUGCAUGUAGUAGAUUCAUUCUGUGCUUUUUCUCAGUGUUGAAAAAAAGCCUCUGAUUAAACCCUUACAUCAGUGUUCACAUUCAGAGAUUUUAAUUUGUUCAGGUUCUAUUUCAGGCUGCAAUUUAUCACCCGUGUUAUUAUUUUUCUGAUUUGCAUGUUUAAUCACGUGACACCAUUUAAGACUCAAGAGUUUAAAAAGCACAAUAAAGUUAAAAAAACAAACCUAAAAGUCUGGACCGUGAGCUGC